UUGAAAAAUCUUUUUUUUGAAACCAUCUAGGUCAAAAACCUCAAAGACAAGACAAGUCAGUCAAAAUUAGCCAAUAAAAAACAUAAUUGAUUAGCAAAACAAGGAAAAUUGAAGAAAAGAAAAAAGAAGGAUAAAGAUCAACAAAACCAGAAUGAAGAAAAAUUACAGCAUAAAAAUUCAGGAAAAUCACAAAGUCAAGUAGAAAAUGGUAGUGAAGAAGAGGACCAGUUAAAUCCAGAGAAUGUAGAAUUUUAUGGCACUCCAGGACAAACCAGUUUUGUCAGUGCUGCUUAGAAAAGAUUUUCAAAUUGAGAGAAAAUUGCUUCUAAAAGAAAAAGAACAUAUUCAGAAUCUAGACAGAUUUAUGAGCAAGAGCCAAGAAAAUUAUUUGCUGGAGAAAGUCGGAAGAAUAUGAAAGAUUUGCUACCAAUUAAGACAAAGAAAGGAAUUAUUCCUCAGAUGAUCGAAGAACCAAAUGGCGAAACAAGUUCAGACAUAAUAGAAAGAGAUACCAUUAUCAACCAGGAACCAAAACCUUUGCCACAAUUAUCAAAUAUUCAGCUGCUUAUACAAAGAAAACAUAACCUAAAAGAAAAGAAAAAGAAGAUUGCUUUACUUGCAAGUGAUGUGAUAGAAAACCCUGAGGAAAAUGUGAGAUAUGUUAAGAUUACUUUCUUUGAUCAUUUAGUAUCCAGUUGUUUGUUGCAAACCUAUUUAUAAGACU
Molecule: long non-coding RNA, 724 nt
Organism: Mytilus trossulus (common blue mussel)
Lineage: Eukaryota; Metazoa; Mollusca; Bivalvia; Mytilida; Mytilidae
Exons: 3
Source: RefSeq, a predicted model, not a curated record